GCUUGUCUCAAAGAUUAAGCCAUGCAUGUCUAAGUAUAAAUGUUAUACAGUGAAACUGCGAAUGGCUCAUUAAAACAGUUAUAGUUUAUUUGAUAAUCGAAUUUACAUGGAUAACCGUGGUAAUUCUAGAGCUAAUACAUGCUGUUAAGCCUGACUUCUCGGAAGGGCUGUAUUUAUUAGAUGGAAACCAAUGCGGGGCAACCCGGAAUAUGGUGAAUCAUAAUAACUGUCGUAUCGAGCAAUCGAAGCGCCAUACAAGUUUCUGCCCUAUCAGCUUUGGAUGGUAGGGUAUUGGCCUACCAUGGCUUUAACGGGUAACGGAGAAUUAGGGUUCGAUUCCGGAGAGGGAGCCUGAGAAAUGGCUACCACAUCCAAGGAAGGCAGCAGG
RNAcentral lists this ribosomal RNA (388 nucleotides) under uncultured Chrysophyceae. RNAcentral's name for it is "partial small subunit ribosomal RNA". It matches the Rfam family "Eukaryotic small subunit ribosomal RNA", at positions 30 to 432 of the family's 1831-position model. The record is from RNAcentral. Lineage: Eukaryota; Chrysophyceae.